ACUAUUUUGGCAGAAAAAUGUAAUGAUUUUAGAGUUCAUGUAUGUAUAAUUUAUUUAUAUAGGUAGUA
RNAcentral lists this transfer RNA (68 nucleotides) under Elophila turbata. Its description in RNAcentral is "tRNA-Leu". Lineage: Eukaryota; Metazoa; Arthropoda; Insecta; Lepidoptera; Crambidae. The record is from RNAcentral.